GCAUCCUUAGCGCCUUGGGGGGUGGUGUUGGCGGGAGGUGCCUUGGCUUGGAAUGUUCAUUUCUUCUGGAAGCACCUGCUGGCUGCUCCACGUCUGGCUGUCCUGGGAAGUUUCGCCCAGGGGUCUGCCCCCAGGGUCUCUCUCGGGUUGGCUUGGGAGCAAGGUGGUCCAUGGGUGCCCCAACUGGAGGCCAUGGAGCGCGAGGAGGAAAGCAAAGCCUUCGGGUGUGUAGAUCUCCAGCCCUCAGCUGCAGUGCAGCCUGGCCCUGGGCCUCACUGAGUGCCAGUUUCCCUGAGGAGGUUGAGCUACUCCAGCUGGAGCUGUGAACACCAGCCAGCAAACCCCAGGCCAACCACUGGGACCACUGGGCCUCACAAUCAGCCCUCCUGCCCGGGAAGUAAGCCAGGCUAGUGACUGCUCCACAAGAUGCCAGUGCUGUUUGUAAACACACGACCCGGCUCACGAGACCUCUUCCUUGACUGUCAGAGGGGCUGUGCUGUGAGGACACGGGCUUCUCGACCCCAGAGGGAGCUGGGGUCCACUCAUGGGUGGGGCAGGCCUGCUGCCAGGACACCCAGGACCCCAUGGUAACCUGUAAACCUCCCCCCGCCACCCACCCACUGUGUGCCAAGUUCCAACAGGGACCUGAAGCAGGUGCUGCUAGGCUGCCCACAUACCAGCCUGGAAGGGGCCAUGCAACCUGGUGGUUCCCUGUGCUCCGGAACUAAGGCAGAGCAGGGAGGGAGCCUCCCCAGAAGGCUGACAAGGACCCUGGGGGCUGUCACUCAGAAGACAGGGAAAACCUGGGGCAAGGGCUCCCGCCAGCGACAUCGGUCAGCCCAGCGACAGCGCUCCAUCCAAGCA
Long non-coding RNA from Homo sapiens (human), 864 nucleotides. RefSeq lists it as uncharacterized. The record is from RefSeq and is a predicted model, not a curated record. The transcript has 3 exons. Lineage: Eukaryota; Metazoa; Chordata; Mammalia; Primates; Hominidae.